Molecule: ribosomal RNA, 252 nt
Filed under: uncultured bacterium
Lineage: Bacteria
Description: partial 16S ribosomal RNA
Rfam family: Bacterial small subunit ribosomal RNA
Source: RNAcentral
ACAGAGGGUGCAAACGUUGCUCGGAAUUACUGGGCGUAAAGCGCGUGUAGGCUGGUGAUCAAGUCAGAUGUGAAAGCCCUGGGCUCAACCUAGGAACUGCAUCUGAAACUGAUCGCCUAGAGUAUUGGAGAGGGAAGCGGAAUUCCUGGUGUAGAGGUGAAAUUCGUAGAUAUCAGGAGGAACACCGGUGGCGAAGGCGGCUUCCUGGACAAUUACUGACGCUGAGACGCGAAAGCGUGGGGAGCAAACAGG